GACGUAGGGCGCGAGCGUUGUCCGGAUUUAUUGGGCGUAAAGAGCUCGUAGGCGGCUUGUUGCGUCGACCGUGAAAACCCGCGGCUUAACUGCGGGCUUGCGGUCGAUACGGGCGGGCUAGAGUUCGGUAGGGGAGACUGGAAUUCCUGGUGUAGCGGUGAAAUGCGCAGAUAUCAGGAGGAACACCGGUGGCGAAGGCGGGUCUCUGGGCCGAUACUGACGCUGAGGAGCGAAAGCGUGGGGAGCGAACAGG
This 253-nucleotide ribosomal RNA is filed under the name uncultured bacterium. RNAcentral's name for it is "partial 16S ribosomal RNA". It matches the Rfam family "Bacterial small subunit ribosomal RNA", at positions 524 to 776 of the family's 1533-position model. The record is from RNAcentral.